CGAGCGAAGCGGGAAGAGCUCAAAUUUAUAAUCUGGCACCUUCGGUGUCCGAGUUGUAAUCUCUAGAAAUGUUUUCCGCGUUGGACCGCACACAAGUCUGUUGGAAUACAGCGGCAUAGUGGUGAGACCCCCGUAUAUGGUGCGGACGCCCAGCGCUUUGUGAUACAUUUUCGAAGAGUCGAGUUGUUUGGGAAUGCAGCUCAAAUUGGGUGGUAAAUUCCAUCUAAAGCUAAAUAUUGGCGAGAGACCGAUAGCGAACAAGUACCGUGAGGGAAAGAUGAAAAGCACUUUGGAAAGAGAGUUAACAGUACGUGAAAUUGUUGGAAGGGAAACGCUUGAAGUCAGACUUGCUUGCCGAGCAAUCGGUUUGCAGGCCAGCAUCAGUUUUCCGGGAUGGAUAAUGGUAGAGAGAAGGUAGCAGUUUCGGCUGUGUUAUAGCUCUCUGCUGGAUACAUCUUGGGGGACUGAGGAACGCAGUGUGCCUUUGGCGGGGGUUUCGACCUCUUCACACUUAGGAUGCUGGUGGAAUGGCUUUAAACGACCCGUCUUGA
RNAcentral lists this ribosomal RNA (551 nucleotides) under Rhodotorula mucilaginosa. RNAcentral describes it as "eukaryotic LSU rRNA". It matches the Rfam family "Eukaryotic large subunit ribosomal RNA", at positions 90 to 657 of the family's 3401-position model. The record is from RNAcentral. Lineage: Eukaryota; Fungi; Basidiomycota; Microbotryomycetes; Sporidiobolales; Sporidiobolaceae.